Long non-coding RNA from Carassius gibelio (silver crucian carp), 1682 nucleotides. RefSeq lists it as uncharacterized. The record is from RefSeq and is a predicted model, not a curated record. Lineage: Eukaryota; Metazoa; Chordata; Actinopteri; Cypriniformes; Cyprinidae. The transcript has 3 exons.
AAACAAUUUAGUUUAAAUAAAAAGAACAAGAAAUAUCUAAAAAUAAAUAAAUUAUUUAUUAGCGAUAGGCCUACGGAUUUUUUAUUUUUUAUUUAUUUAUUUAUUUUUUUACUUUAGACUCUAAAGUUAAAAGUUUUUAUUAAGGCUAUUGUAAAGGCUUCUUAAAAAUGAUGUCGCUGAUGAGCCUCUGAUCGCUGUCAGAUUCUGUGAUAUGAAUGUCCGCUAAUGGGUUUAGAAUGAGCCCCGCUCGGCCCGUGUUCUGGCUUACUGUAAUAUUUCACCUGUAAUAAGACCGAAAUAAUAUAAUUAAAAUAAAGAAAUGAAUGAAUACAUGAUAACAUCUAAAUAAAUGUUGAUAGAUUUAGCGUUAUAGUUUUAAAAAUAUUAAUAAACAGCAAAUCAACACAGAAAGACCUAAAUAAUAAUAAUACAUAAUUAAUAAACAGCGCCGCCCCUCCCACUACGCGCAUCACGCGCUGUGCGUCAACCCCAAAGCGUCAAAAACUGAAGCGUGGUCAAGCGCCUCUAGCGUCACUGACAUGAGAUGUUUAUCGCUUUGAAAUCACGUUCAAGAAGUGUCAUUCAGCACACAUCGCGAUACUUUCCAUCAGUUUGCAAGAGCCGCAGGUUGGGUGAGUUAUACAGUCUAUGGUGAGUAGUAGUAAAUAUGCUAUUUUAAUGCCUGUCCUAAAACGUAUUCUGUCUUCUUUAUUAAUCAGAUGAGCGCCUUAUGUUUACUCUCUGUAUUACAUCGGUCAUCCGAGGCUGUCUUUGAGUUUCAUUGUGUUUAACUAAAUGAACACAGCUGCUAACUGGUUAAACUCUAUCGGUCACGUGACGUGACGUGACGUGCCACAGACCUGGGAUCCGUUUUAUAUUCAUUUCAGGUUCAAAGAUGUAAGUUGUAUUUGUAGUAAAAUCAUGGUAACCAUGACACCUACAAAAGUAGGUAAAACCCAGUAAACAAGACAUUUACCAUGUUUUUUUUUUUUUUUUUUUUUUACCACAGUAACUGUAGCUUUACUGUAGUAUAGUAAUAGCACAUUAAUCACCAAAUUAACUAUAGUUGUACCACUGUAAUGGUAGUGUUUUAAUGUGCUUUUAUAUGACUUAUUUCACAGUAAUCACAUUUACUGUACCAUGCUUGUAAUACCUUUUUAAUGUAAAAAAAAAAAAAAAAAAAAACAUUUUUCCCAUCUUGCAGUUCAAUUCAUAUUUGUUUAUAUCUUAAAUAUUUUGCUCACAGAUCACUAUUAACAUUCUGUAUAUAAUUCUGUUUUAUUUUCUUUCCCCUUGUAUUAAUUUUUUAGCUGAAAAGACGUAAAGUAAGCAGUCACCCCAGUGGUGUUUGUGGAGAGGUAUUCCUUCAGAAAUGGAGAAGACAGAAAGCUGCAGAGGCAGGAUUGUUUGCAGAUAAUGCUGUUCUUCUUUUUCAGAAGUUUUUGGGGAGCCAACCCUCACAAACCUUCCUAAAAACUAAAAGAGCUAUUACUGAGUCUCAGCGACUCUUGCCACGAUCAGCUCUUCCCAGAAGAGAAGGAAGACCAAGGAAAUGAUUUGCUCAGGAUGAGAAAUGAAGAUGGUCAUCUUGUGCUCAAGCAAACAGAAGUCCUCUGUUUUGUGUGUGUUGAAGCAAUGCUGUGUUACAGGACUUUAUGAUGAUCUCUCACAGGACUGGUCAU